This is a long non-coding RNA of Prunus mume (Japanese apricot), 285 nucleotides long. RefSeq lists it as uncharacterized. The record is from RefSeq and is a predicted model, not a curated record. Lineage: Eukaryota; Viridiplantae; Streptophyta; Magnoliopsida; Rosales; Rosaceae.
CCCAAACCGGUUCAGAGCGAGGAGGGUGUAUCAUCGUCUGUCCUUCAAUUUCGUUAAUUGCAUGGAAAAACUCUGAGGCUUUGUCAGGAUUGAGUGUGCAGUCUUAACAAAAUUACAAAAUCAGGUUGGAGGUCGUAGUAGGCCCUUGGCUCAAGGAGUGAUGUUUUGUAAAUAAUAAAAAAAGUAGCCUCAGCGAAACUUUUGACAAUAUUUUCAUGUUGUAUCUGUAAGUAUAAACCAUAUGAGAAACGGUUUUCCAUUUUAAACAAGUGUAGAUUCUUAAAA